GCGCUGGGUGAGUUAAGGCGAUGGACUUGAAAUCCAUUGGGGUAACCUGCGUGAGUUCAAAUCUCACAGCU
RNAcentral lists this transfer RNA (71 nucleotides) under Pythium insidiosum. Its description in RNAcentral is "tRNA-Ser". It matches the Rfam family "tRNA", at positions 10 to 63 of the family's 71-position model. From Rfam's summary of the family: Transfer RNA (tRNA) molecules are approximately 80 nucleotides in length. The record is from RNAcentral. Lineage: Eukaryota; Oomycota; Peronosporomycetes; Pythiales; Pythiaceae.